This 654-nucleotide ribosomal RNA is filed under the name Protoparmelia aff. badia A GS-2015. RNAcentral's name for it is "eukaryotic LSU rRNA". It matches the Rfam family "Eukaryotic large subunit ribosomal RNA", at positions 211 to 884 of the family's 3401-position model. Lineage: Eukaryota; Fungi; Ascomycota; Lecanoromycetes; Lecanorales; Parmeliaceae. The record is from RNAcentral.
GGUGAGAAUCCGUCUGUGACCGGUGACCGAUCCCAUGCGAAACCCCUUCGACGAGUCGAGUUGUUUGGGAAUGCAGCUCAAAAUGGGUGGUAAAUUUCAUCUAAAGCUAAAUACUGGCUGGAGACCGAUAGCGCACAAGUAGAGUGAUCGAAAGAUGAAAAGCACUUUGGAAAGAGAGUCAAAAAGUACGUGAAAUUGUUGAAAGGGAAGCGCUUGCAACCAGACCUGUCCGUGGGUGAUCAGCCGCCGUUCUCGGUGGUGCACUCGCCUACGAUCAGGCCAGCAUCGGUUCGGGCGGCCGGACAAAGGCCUUGGGAAUGUAGCUCCUCUCGGGGAGUCUUAUAGCCCUCGGUGCAAUGUGGCCAGCCCGGACCGAGGACCGCGCUUCGGCUAGGAUGCUGGCGUAAUGGUUGUAAGCGACCCGUCUUGAAACACGGACCAAGGAGUCUAACAUCUAUGCGAGUGUUUGGGUGUUAAACCCAUACGCGGAAUGAAAGUGAACGGAGGUGAGAACCCUUUAGGGCGCAUCAUCGACCGAUCCAGAUGUCUUCGGAUGGAUUUGAGUAUGAGCAUAGCUGUUGGGACCCGAAAGAUGGUGAACUAUGCCUGAAUAGGGUGAAGCCAGAGGAAACUCUGGUGGAGGCUCGCAGCGGU